Molecule: ribosomal RNA, 907 nt
Filed under: Candolleomyces bivelatus
Lineage: Eukaryota; Fungi; Basidiomycota; Agaricomycetes; Agaricales; Psathyrellaceae
Description: Psathyrella bivelata partial large subunit ribosomal RNA
Rfam family: Eukaryotic large subunit ribosomal RNA
Source: RNAcentral
GAAAAGAAACUAACAAGGAUUCCCCUAGUAACUGCGAGUGAAGCGGGAAAAGCUCAAAUUUAAAAUCUGGUGGUCUCUGGCCAUCCGAGUUGUAAUCUAGAGAAGUGUUACCCGCGUCGGACCGUGUAUAAGUCUCCUGGAAUGGAGCGUCAUAGAGGGUGAGAAUCCCGUCUUUGACACGGACUACCGAGGCUUUGUGGUAUGCUCUCAAAGAGUCGAGUUGUUUGGGAAUGCAGCUCAAAAUGGGUGGUAAAUUCCAUCUAAAGCUAAAUAUUGGCGAGAGACCGAUAGCGAACAAGUACCGUGAGGGAAAGAUGAAAAGAACUUUGGAAAGAGAGUUAAACAGUACGUGAAAUUGCUGAAAGGGAAACGCUUGAAGUCAGUCGCGUUGGCCGGGAAUCAGCCUUGCUUUUGCUUGGUGUACUUUCUGGUUGACGGGCCAGCAUCAGUUUUGACCGGUGGAAAAAGUUCAGGGGAAUGUGGCAUCUUCGGAUGUGUUAUAGCCCUUGUUCGUAUACAUCGGUUGGGACUGAGGAACUCAGCACGCCGCAAGGCCGGGUCUUUGACCACGUUCGUGCUUAGGAUGCUGGCAUAAUGGCUUUAAUCGACCCGUCUUGAAACACGGACCAAGGAGUCUAACAUGCCUGCGAGUGUUUGGGUGGAAAACCCGAGCGCGUAAUGAAAGUGAAAGUUGAGAUCCCUGUCAUGGGGAGCAUCGACGCCCGGACCUGACGUUUUCUGACGGCCCUGCGGUAGAGCAUGUAUGUUGGGACCCGAAAGAUGGUGAACUAUGCCUGAAUAGGGUGAAGCCAGAGGAAACUCUGGUGGAGGCUCGUAGCGAUUCUGACGUGCAAAUCGAUCGUCAAAUUUGGGUAUAGGGGCGAAAGACUAAUCGAACCAUCUAGUA